CAAAACCAAACCCACAAAAACCAACUAACCAACAAAUCCCCCCCCAGCCCCAAAAGAUCCCCCCGCUGUUUGAAGUUCUGGUAAUAUGCUUUCUUCACGUGUAUCUAUUUUUCUGUGUCCUAUUUUUCAGAGUUAUGAGGGGGAAAAAAAAUAAGACAAAAACAGUGUGCUACAUUUAAUGCCUGAUUUUGGUUUUGCCACUGCUUGCCAUUUAUAAAAGGUGGUAUCUCACAGCUGGAAAGUCACAGAACUCUCCUGACAUAAAAAGGUAGAAAGACAUGGCCAGAUGAGUUAACUAAGGUUAUAUCUGAACCCAAAGAUGGAAUUGAAGAAGUAUCAGCAGUAACUUUAAACUAGUUAGCUUUGGUUAAAAUUUCUGUUAAGAAGUGGCAGCACACUGCUUCAUAUGGUCAGCAGAAUCAACAGGGAAUCAACAAAAUCUGUCAGGGAAUUUGGGUAGACUGACGUUCAUCUGCUGGUUUCCAGGGAGGUCUGUGCUGCUAUAGAGAUGCUCUUACCCCUACCUGAGCUACCCAGUUUAAAACCUGUGUGCCUACAUCAAGUACACCCACGCUUCUGGCCUCAGUUUAGACAUGGAACUGUCUCUCAAGUUAACUCAUCCUGGUUGGAGCAAGGCAUUUGGUAGUUUUCACCUCAAUCAACUGUUUGGAUUUAGAACUGUGUGGGUGCCUAAUUUUAACACAGUAUGUUAACUCCUGUAAAAAAUGUCCUCAUGGGAUUCUAGUUUGAGGCAGUCUGGGUUUUUUCCAGUUCCUAGUGCAUGUAAAAGUGAAGACCAAGCUGGACAGAAAGAGGACAGGAUAAAUGGUGAGGUGUUAAAUCUGAAUUCCACCCUGUUGCUAUUGCCAGUGCAUCAGAGAGGCUCAUCUCAUGGUGUCUGACAGAAGGACUGCUGGUGACGUAAUUACCCUUGAACCUUGACUGAAGGAGAACCCUGUCCUCAGCUGAGAAUAUACCAGUACUCUGUGUGUGUAAGUCCUUGUUGUUUAACUUACUGUAUGUGGACAACACAGGGUGUAGAAUAUUACUGGCCAACUGGUCAGGCUGUUCAAAGGCUAGAAUUUGCUCUACGUUUAUCUGAGGCGCAGGUGAUUUCUCCUUUAAUAUCAAUAUGCAAUUAAUCAACAAUUUUUUUACUAUGUCACUGAUAGUAUUAAAUAAUAUUAAACUCUCCACAUGCUCAAUACAGUUGAUAUAUUGUGUAGCAUGUUGGCAAUCAAAUCAGGUAUUAUUAAGCCUUGGAGAAGUCUCACCCAAUUCUGUAAUUUGUAUUAAUUAUAUCUCUCCAUUAUUAUGCCUUAUAUAACCUUUCUUCAUUCAUAGGUAAUCAUGUUCCAUGUAAACAAUUUUACUGUUUUUCAGGCCUCCACACCUACAAUUCCCCAGGUGAUCUGAUACAAGCCCUAGGAAAACAGUGUUUGUUUUGUCUGUGAAUAUCACUGUAAUUCAAUGACUUUUUGUUUGCAAGCCUUAGUUAGAAAUUGUCCUUCUUCAUCCAUAUGCGGGGAUUAAUAACCUCUUCUGAAGUUGUUACAUUUGCUGUUGUGUGUAUUAUAUAAUUUAGUUUUCUGUAAUGUUUUUGUCUCUCUUUAAACAAAAUAAAACAUUUGUCACAGAUGA
Corvus hawaiiensis (hawaiian crow) is the source of this 1641-nucleotide long non-coding RNA. RefSeq lists it as uncharacterized. The transcript has 2 exons. The record is from RefSeq and is a predicted model, not a curated record. Lineage: Eukaryota; Metazoa; Chordata; Aves; Passeriformes; Corvidae.